AUACGUAGGUGGCAAGCGUUGUCCGGAAUUAUUGGGCGUAAAGCGCGCGCAGGUGGUUCCUUAAGUCUGAUGUGAAAGCCCCCGGCUCGACCGGGGAGGGUCAUUGGAAACUGGGGAACUUGAGUGCAGAAGAGGAUAGUGGAAUUCCAAGUGUAGCGGUGAAAUGCGUAGAGAUUUGGAGGAACACCAGUGGCGAAGGCGACUGUCUGGUCUGUAACUGACACUGAGGCGCGAAAGCGUGGGGAGCAAACAGGAUUAGAUACCCUGGUAGUCCACGCCGUAAACGAUGAGUGCUAAGUGUUGGGGGGUUUCCGCCCCUCAGUGCUGCAGCUAACGCACUAAGCACUCCGCCUGGGGAGUACGGUCGCAAGACUGAAACUCAAAUGAAUUGACGG
Molecule: ribosomal RNA, 395 nt
Filed under: uncultured bacterium
Lineage: Bacteria
Description: partial 16S ribosomal RNA
Rfam family: Bacterial small subunit ribosomal RNA
Source: RNAcentral